Oncorhynchus tshawytscha (Chinook salmon) is the source of this 4382-nucleotide long non-coding RNA. NCBI's taxonomy places the organism in Eukaryota, Metazoa, Chordata, Actinopteri, Salmoniformes, Salmonidae. The record is from Ensembl.
CUGAUGACUGGGAUGAAUGUAGGAGCAGAUUUCAGGAGCAGGACAAGACACCCUCUAUGUGACUGAUGACUGGGAUGAAUGUAGGAGCAGAUUUCAGGAGCAGGACAAGACACCGUCUAUGUGACUGAUGACUGACAUAAGGACAUAAGGUGCUAGGCCUAUCUGGCUUAUAUGAUUAUGAUGGUCAUAAGGCUUCUUGGCAUAACAAAGCAAUUGUUCGGUGUUGAAAAUAGUUUUGCUGUGCUGACGUCAUAGGUACGAGACGGAGUCGCUGUUAGCAUGGCUGUGCUGAGGUCAUAGGUACGAGACGGAGUCGCUGUUAGCAUGGCUGUGCUGACGUCAUAGGUACGAGACGGAGUCGCUGUUAGCAUGGCUGUGCUGACGUCAUAGGUACGAGACGGAGCCGCUGUUAGCAUGGCUGUGCUGAGGUCAUAGGUACGAGACGGAGCCGCUGUUAGCAUGGCUGUGCUGAGGUCAUAGGUACGAGACGGAGCUGAGUACCGUAGAUCAGCACAGCGGUGCUAAAAAAGUUGUUUUGCACACCCUCGAGUGUACAAUAGCUUUCCAACAAAGAAUUACCAAUUAAAUAAAACACAUUACUUUGAUGAAUUUAGUCAUAGUCCCGACACAUCUACGAUUGCUCUAUGUUAGGUUGAGACGCGACCCAGUCGUUAAGUCUUUGUUCUGUAUCUAUGGACGCAACCCAGUCGUUCGUUCUAAAUGUUUCAUUGCCAGCUUUUAUCCCUUGCUUGCUAGCUAGCCAACUUCACAGCUAACACAAUCGCUUCAAACUGAAGCUGGUAAGACAGCAAACUAGCUGCAAUUCAUGUUGUUUGCAUACAGUAUAUCUGUAAAAAAUUAUGCUGGUUCAUGACUUUUACUGGCUGAGAAAAAAUGUCUUGUCCAGACACGUUAAUUGUCAAUAGGAGAUCUAGUGGAGAUCGAAUUUCAAUAUUGAUUUUAUUUUUUAAUUGUCGAGAGACAGACGGCAACGUUUUUACAAACCCCCGUUGUUGCAAACUAAAUGUAGGCUAGAAGCGGAGAGAUAAUGUCUAGAAGCUUUUUACAGAGGAAAAUCAUUUCAUGAAUUGUCUGACUGGGCUGAUGGGACAAUGGAUACAUAGGGAUUUGUCAGAUGGAACAGAAAACAAGAUACCUAUUGUCAUCUGCUUACCUUAAGCUAAACCAUUUGUUUUUGUACGGCUUAGAAUGCAUCUCAACCAAUAAAAAUGCUUGUUUUGACCAACCUGUUUUAGAAAGUGUAUUUUCUUAGUCCAAGCAAAGUGACACAGGAUGGGUCGUAAUGGUUAAUCACAAUAUCAUAAAUUGUAUUUUCUGCAAGUUAUUUAAAAUAUGAUAAAACAUUACUCAUUGCAACAAGAAAGGAUUUUUUAAAGAAACAAACUUUCAAACAAAACUAAUUUGAGUAAAUGAGGGUUUUGACACUUAAGUAGGUAACCAUAACCAGCCAUAAAAUAACCGGGAUUCAUCCGAUGGUAUUGAGGAGUACACCACAUAAGUCACCGGCUUCAUCAAUAAGUGCAUUGAUGACGUCGUCCCCACAGUGACCGUACGUACAUACACCAACCAGAAGCCAUGGAUUACAGGCAACAUCCACACUAAGCUAAAGGGUAGAGUGGCUGCUUCAAGGAGCGGGACUCUUAACCUGGGCGCUUAUAAGAAAUCUCGCUUUGCCCUCCGACGAACCAUCAAACAGGCAAAAAAAUCAAUAUAGGACUAAGAUUGAAUCCUACUACACCGGCUCUGACACUCGUUGGAUGUCGCGAGCUGCCCAGUGACACGAGCCUACCAAAUGAGCUAAAUGACUUCUAUGCUCGCAUCAAGGCAAGCAACACUGAAGCAUGCAUGAGAGCACCAGCUAUUCCGAACGAUUGUGUGAUCACGCUCUCCGUUGCUUGCCUCGAAGCACGCAUAGAAGUCAUUUAGCAGGCUCGUGUGAGAGCGUGAUCACACACUCGUUCGGAAUAGCUGGUGCUCUCAUGCAUGCUUCAGUGUUGCUUGCCUCGAAGCACACAUAGAAGUAAUUUAGCUCAUUUGAUAGGCUUGUGUGAUGUGAUUAAGACAUUUAAACAGGUCAACAUUCACAAGACCGCGGGAUCAGACGGAUUACCAGGACAUGUACUCAGUGCAUGCGCUGACCAACUGAGUCUGUCAUACCAACAUGUUUAAAGCAGACCACAGGCUUGUCAUGACUCAUAACACCAUCAUCCCAGCAAACCUAGACCCACUCCACUUUGCAUACCGCCCAAACAGAUCCACAGAUAACGCAAAUCUCUAUUGCACUCCACACUGCCCUUUCCCACCUGGACAAAAGGAACACCUAAGUGAGAAUGCUGUUCAUUGACUUCAGCUCAGCGUUCAACACCAUAGUGCCCUCAAAGCUCAUCACUAAGCUAAGGACCCUGGGAUUAAACCCUUCCAUCUUCAACUGGAUCCUGGACUGCGUGACGGGCCGUCCCCAGGUGGUAGGCAACAACAUAUUUGCUUUGCUGAUCCUCAACAUAGAGGCCCCUCAGGGGUGCGUGCUUAGUCCCCUCCUGUACUCCCUGUUUACUCGCGACUGCAUGGCCAAGCACGACUCCAACACCAUCAUUAAGUUUGCUGACAACACAACGGUGGUAGGCCUGAUCACCGACAACGAUGAGGAGGUCAGAGACCUGGCCAGUGUGGUACCAGGACAAAAACCUCUCCCUCAACAUGAUCAAAACAAAGGAGAUGAUCAUGGACUACAGGAAAAGGAAGGCUGAGAACGCCCCCAUUCUCAUCGACAGGGUGGUAGAGAACGCCCCCAUUCUCAUCGACAGGGUGGUAGAGAACGCCCCCAUUCUCAUCGACAGUGUGGUAGUGAAGCAGGUUGAGAGCUUCCAAGUUCCUUGGCGUCCACAUCACCAACAAACUAUCAUGGGUCCUCAGAUUCUCAAAAGGUUCCACAGCUGCACCACUGAGAGCAUCCUGACUGGUUGCAUCACCGUGUGCACCUUCACGCACAUGUUGAUUUUGUCCAUCCACAGCAGAAGCGAUCAGGACACUCAAGUUGAAAUAUCAAAACAAACUCUGAACCAACUAUAUUAAUUCUGGGACAGGUCGAAACACAUGAAAUAUUCAUGGCAACUGCUCGGCCUCCGACCACAAGGCACUACAGAGGGUAGUGCGUACGGCCCAGUACAUCAUGGGUCCAAGGCACAGCAGAGGGUAGUGCGUACGGCCCAGUACAUCACUGGGUCCAAGCUUCCUGCCUUGCAAGACCUCUAUACCAGGCGGUGUCAGAGGAAGGCCCUAAAAAUUACCAAAGACUCCAGCCACCUUAGACUGUUCUCUCUGCUACCGGGCGGCAAGCGAUACCGGAGUGCCAAGUCUAGGUCCAAGAACAGCUUAACAACUUCUACCCCCAAAGCCAUAAGACUCCUGAACAGCUAAUCAAAAUGGCCACCCAGACUUUUUUGCAUUAACCCCCUUUGUUUUAUUGUCACUUCACCUACAUUGGUGGAAAAAGUAACCAAUUGUCAAACAUACCUUAAUAGAAAGGUACUCAAAUAAAAUUGAACGUCACCCAGUGAAAUACUACUUCAGUAAAAGUCUCAAAGUAUUUGGUUGUAAAUAUACAGUAAGCAGUAAGUAUCAAGAAGUAAAUGUAAUUGCUCAAUUUUACUUAAGUAUGCAAAAGUAAAAAUCUUUUCAAAUUCCUUAUAUUAAGGAAAACAGACGGCUUCAUUUUCUUGUCUUUAAAAAAACAAUUCACGGAUAGCCAGGGGGCACACUCCAACACUUAGACAUCAUUACAGAUAGCCAGGGGCACUCUCCAACACUUAGACAUCAUUACAGAUAGCCAGGGGAACACUCCAACACUUAGACAUCAUUACAGAUAGCCAGGGGCACACUCCAACACUUAGACAUCAUUACAGAUAGCCAGGGGUACACUCCAACACUUAGACAUCAUUACAGAUAACCAGGGGAACACUCCAACACUCAGACAUCAUUACAGAUAGCCAGGGGCACACUCCAACACUCAGACAUCAUUACAGAUAGCCAGGGGAACACUCCAACACUCAGACAUUACAGAUAGCCAGGGGAACACUCCAACACUUAGACAUCAUUACAGAUAGCCAGGGGAACACUCCAACACUCAGAUAUCAUUACAGAUAGCCAGGGGAACACUCCAACACUCAGAUAUCAUUACAGAUAGCCAGGGGGCACACUCCAACACUCAGACAUUACAGAUAGCCAGGGGAACACUCCAACACUUAGACAUCAUUACAGAUAGCCAGGGGAACACUCCAACACUCAGAUAUCAUUACAGAUAGCGAGGGGAACACUCCAACACUCAGACAUCAUUUACAGAUAGCCAGGGGAACACUCCAACA